RNAcentral lists this ribosomal RNA (497 nucleotides) under uncultured bacterium. RNAcentral describes it as "partial 16S ribosomal RNA". It matches the Rfam family "Bacterial small subunit ribosomal RNA", at positions 28 to 507 of the family's 1533-position model. The record is from RNAcentral.
GAUGAACGCUGGCGGCGUGCCUAAUACAUGCAAGUCGAGCGAACAGACGAGGAGCUUGCUCCUCUGACGUUAGCGGCGGACGGGUGAGUAACACGUGAAUAACCUACCUAUAAGACUGGGAUAACUUCGGGAAACCGGAGCUAAUACCGGAUAAUAUAUUGAACCGCAUGGUUCAAUAGUGAAAGACGGUUUUGCUGUCACUUAUAGAUGGAUCCGCGCCGCAUUAGCUAGUUGGUAAGGUAACGGCUUACCAAGGCAACGAUGCGUAGCCGACCUGAGAGGGUGUUCGCCCACCCUGGAACGGAGACACGCACCAUACGCCUACGGGAGGCACCAGUAGCGUAUGUUCCGCAGUGGUCGGGAGUCUGGCGGAGCAGCGCCACGUGUGUGAUAGAGGUCUUGCGAUCGUAAUGCUCUGUUAUGAGGGAUGAACAAAUUUGUAAGUAACUAUACCCGUCUUGACGGUACCUAAUCAGAAAGCCACGGCUAACUACGUG